RNAcentral lists this ribosomal RNA (253 nucleotides) under uncultured bacterium. RNAcentral describes it as "partial 16S ribosomal RNA". It matches the Rfam family "Bacterial small subunit ribosomal RNA", at positions 524 to 776 of the family's 1533-position model. The record is from RNAcentral.
UACGUAGGGUGCUAGCGUUGUUCGGAAUCAUUGGGCGUAAAGCGCGUGUAGGCGGUUGGGUAAGUCUUGUGUGAAAUCCCUGGGCUUAACCGAGGAAGUGCAUGAGAAACUACCCAGCUGGAAGACGGCAGAGGAAGGUGGAAUUCCAAGUGUAGAGGUGAAAUUCGUAGAUAUUUGGAGGAAUACCGGUGGCGAAGGCGGCCUUCUGGACCGUUCUUGACGCUGAGACGCGAAAGCGUGGGGAGCAAACAGG